Molecule: long non-coding RNA, 2009 nt
Organism: Astyanax mexicanus (Mexican tetra)
Lineage: Eukaryota; Metazoa; Chordata; Actinopteri; Characiformes; Acestrorhamphidae
Exons: 2
Source: RefSeq, a predicted model, not a curated record
UGUAACAGAGUUAGAAUUACCAGAUAAUAUAAUUAAUGAGUUUCACCAAAAUUGCUCUACUAUUAUAAAAAUGGGUAAAAAAGUCUAAAAAGUUCAUUUUUUUGUGAAAGUUUAUAUUUUUGUAAAAAAGGUUAAAUAUAUUUUUGGGAGCUUUUCAUUUCUUGCUUUGACGUCCCUGCAGGCUGUGUCCCUCUGCUGCUGCCGUACCUCCAUCAGACGAGUGAGAGCUCUGAGAUGGAUGGUUCGUAGCUGCUGCAGUUUCUCUCUAAAUUAUAUAUUUUCUAAUCUUUAUCUAGUUAAAAACUUUAAAAACACUGUUCUAUAACUUUAUAAAAAUAUCUAGUGCUCUAUUUAUUAUUAAGUUUUGAUAAGAAAUGUUAACUUUAUCGAGUUUAGUCUAGACAUGUGCUCCGCACGUGCGGGCCGCAUUAUAUAACUCAUGUCUCUAAAGUAAAAUGUGAAUUAAGCUAAUCCCUUUUUAUCUUAUUUUACUUUCUACAACCUCAGUGUGCUAUACCUGCAGCCGUUCAUUGCAAGACGUGAAGGAUUAUUUGAUUUAAUCUGUUUCAGGUAUGUUGCUCCCUAGACUUUCCCUCCAAAGAUGUUCUUUAAAUAUUUCUAAAUAUGUUAUUAAUUAAUUAAUUUUUCUAAUGCUGUUGUGCUAUAAGAUAAAAAAAAUGCUUUCCUCUGUAAAUUUUUGAAUAUGUUUUUAUGAGAAAAACAAGCUAUACGAUCACGUACAUGUUAUGUUAAAAUACUGUUUUAAAAAGAGAACACUCAGACGAGUGAGAGCUCUGAGAUGGAUGUGUGCUAUACCUGCAGCCGUUCAUUGCAAGACGUGAAGGAUUAUUUGAUUUAAUCUGUUUCAGAAUAAACAGAGUGGAAAGCAGCACUGGUCUGAGACUCAUUUACUGACCAAACAGUGGUCGUUACAGUGGUGCCGUCGACUCCGUGAUUCCUGGUCAGCUUGAUGCAGAUCGCCGUGGGUGUGCUGCGGAAUUCAGCGCAGGAGUGUUGUUGUGCUGCGGAGACUCAGCGAGGGAGUGCUGCGGAGAUUCAGCGCGAAAGUGCUGUUGUGCUGCGAAGAUUCAGCGCGGGAGUGCUGCGGAGAUUCAGCGCGGCUGUGCUACCGAAUUCAGCACGAAAGUGCUGUUGUGCUGCGGAGACUCUGCGCGGGUGUGCUGCCGAAAUCAGCGCGGGUGUGCUGGUGUGUUUCCGAAACUCCUUCAGCGCGCGGACAGUGAGAUCGCACCCUUUCAGCGCUGCGGAGCUCUUUGCAAUGCUUUUAAAGCAUUAGUCAGGCUGUGUCCCUCUGCUGCUGCCGUACCUCCAUCAGACGAGUGAGAGCUCUGAGAUGGAUGGUUCGUAGCUGCUGCAGUUUCUCUCUAAAUUAUAUAUUUUCUAAUCUUUAUCUAGUUAAAAACUUUAAAAACACUGUUCUAUAACUUUAUAAAAAUAUCUAGUGCUCUAUUUAUUAUUAAGUUUUGAUAAGAAAUGUUAACUUUAUCGAGUUUAGUCUAGACAUGUGCUCCGCACGUGCGGGCCGCAUUAUAUAACUCAUGUCUCUAAAGUAAAAUGUGAAUUAAGCUAAUCCCUUUUUAUCUUAUUUUACUUUCUACAACCUCAGUGUGCUAUACCUGCAGCCGUUCAUUGCAAGACGUGAAGGAUUAUUUGAUUUAAUCUGUUUCAGGUAUGUUGCUCCCUAGACUUUCCCUCCAAAGAUGUUCUUUAAAUAUUUCUAAAUAUGUUAUUAAUUAAUUAAUUUUUCUAAUGCUGUUGUGCUAUAAGAUAAAAAAAAUGCUUUCCUCUGUAAAUUUUUGAAUAUGUUUUUAUGAGAAAAACAAGCUAUACGAUCACGUACAUGUUAUGUUAAAAUACUGUUUUAAAAAGAGAACACUCAGACGAGUGAGAGCUCUGAGAUGGAUGUGUGCUAUACCUGCAGCCGUUCAUUGCAAGACGUGAAGGAUUAUUUGAUUUAAUCUGUUUCAGAAUAAACAGAGUGGAAAGCA